UCUGGUUGAUCCUGCCUGAACUGAUGUGUUCAUUUCAAAGAUUAAGCCAUGCAUGUAUAAGUUUAAUCGUUUUAACGAGAAACCGCGAACGGCUCAUUACAAUGGCCAUGAUUUACUUGAUCUUGAUUAUCUAAAUGGAUAACUGUGGAAAAGCUAGAGCUAAUACAUGCACCAAAGCUUUGUCCUCUCGGAAAAGCGCAUUUAUUAGAACAAAACCACGCGGCUUCGGCUGCUUCUUGUUGACUCAGAAUAACUAAGCUGACCGCAUGGCCUUGUGCCGGCGGCGUGUCUUUCAAGCGUCCACUUUAUCAACUUGACGGGAGCAUAAUCGACUCCCGUGGUGGUGACGGAUAACGGAGGAUCAGGGUUCGACUCCGGAGAAGGGGCCUGAGAAAUGGCCACUACGUCUAAGGAUGGCAGCAGGCGCGCAAAUUACCCACUCUCGGCUCGAGGAGGUAGUGACGAGAAAUAACGAGAUCGUUCUCUUUGAGGCCGGUCAUCGGAAUGGGUACAAUUUAAACCCUUUAACGAGUAUCAAGCAGAGGGCAAGUCUGGUGCCAGCAGCCGCGGUAAUUCCAGCUCUGCUAAUACAUAGAAUUAUUGCUGCGGUUAAAAAGCUCGUAGUUGGAUUCGUAUCGGUACCCUGGAACCCUCCGGGUGUUUCUGGGUGUUAUCGAUUUAUCGUAAUGUUUGGUUUUGAGUCCUUAACAGGAUUCUUAACAGGCAUUGCAAGUUUACUUUGAACAAAUCAGAGUGCUUCAAACAGGCGUUUUCGCUUGAAUGAUCGUGCAUGGAAUAAUAGAAAACGAUUUCGGUUCAGUUUUAUUGGUUUUACGGACUGAGAUAAUGGUUAACAGAGACAAACGGGGGCAUUUGUAUGGCCCCGUGAGAGGUGAAAUUCUUGGACCGUGGCCAGACAAACUACAGCGAAAGCAUUUGCCAAGAAUGUCUUCAUUAAUCAAGAACGAAAGUCAGAGGUUCGAAGGCGAUCAGAUACCGCCCUAGUUCUGACCGUAAACGAUGCCAACUAGCGAUCCGCCGAUGGAAAUUAUAUUGCCUUGGUGGGGAGCUUCCCGGAAACGAAAGUCUUCCGGUUCCGGGGGAAGUAUGGUUGCAAAGCUGAAACUUAAAGGAAUUGACGGAAGGGCACCACCAGGAGUGGAGCCUGCGGCUUAAUUUGACUCAACACGGGGAAACUCACCCGGCCCGGACACUGUGAGGAUUGACAGAUUGAUAGCUUUUUCAUGAUUCAGUGGAUGGUGGUGCAUGGCCGUUCUUAGUUCGUGGAGUGAUUUGUCUGGUUUAUUCCGAUAACGAGCGAGACUCUAACCUACUAAAUAGUUGGUGCAUACUCUUUGUGUAUACAGCUUCUUAGAGGGAUUUGCGGCGUUCAGCCGAAAGAAAUUGAGCAAUAACAGGUCUGUGAUGCCCUUAGAUGUCCGGGGCUGCACGCGCGCUACACUGGCAAAAUCAACGUGCUUGUCCUACCCUGAAAGGGGCGGGUAAACCAUUGAAAAUUUGCCGUGAUUGGGAUCGGAAAUUGCAAUUAUUUUCCGUGAACGAGGAAUUCCAAGUAAGUGCGAGUCAUCAGCUCGCGUUGAUUACGUCCCUGCCCUUUGUACACACCGCCCGUCGCUGCCCGGGACUGAGCCAUUUCGAGAAAUUUGGGGACCGUUGAUUUAAUUUUUCUAAAUUACUUUGAUGGAAACCAAUUUAAUCGCAGUGGCUUGAACCGGGCAAAAGUCGUAACAAGGUAGCUGUAGGUGAACCUGCUGCUG
RNAcentral lists this ribosomal RNA (1778 nucleotides) under Meloidogyne arenaria. RNAcentral's name for it is "SSU rRNA". It matches the Rfam family "Eukaryotic small subunit ribosomal RNA". Lineage: Eukaryota; Metazoa; Nematoda; Chromadorea; Rhabditida; Meloidogynidae. The record is from RNAcentral.